GAUGAACGCUGGCGGCGUGCCUAAUACAUGCAAGUCGAGCGAACGGACGAGAAGCUUGCUUCUCUGAUGUUAGCGGCGGACGGGUGAGUAACACGUGGAUAACCUACCUAUAAGACUGGGAUAACUUCGGGAAACCGGAGCUAAUACCGGAUAAUAUUUUGAACCGCAUGGUUCAAAAGUGAAAGACGGUCUUGCUGUCACUUAUAGAUGGAUCCGCGCUGCAUUAGCUAGUUGGUAAGGUAACGGCUUACCAAGGCAACGAUGCAUAGCCGACCUGAGAGGGUGAUCGGCCACACUGGAACUGAGACACGGUCCAGACUCCUACGGGAGGCAGCAGUAGGGAAUCUUCCGCAAUGGGCGAAAGCCUGACGGAGCAACGCCGCGUGAGUGAUGAAGGUCUUCGGAUCGUAAAACUCUGUUAUUAGGGAAGAACAUAUGUGUAAGUAACUGUGCACAUCUUGACGGUACCUAAUCAGAAAGCCACGGCUAACUACGUGCCAGCAGCCGCGGUAAUACGUAGGUGGCAAGCGUUAUCCGGAAUUAUUGGGCGUAAAGCGCGCGUAGGCGGUUUUUUAAGUCUGAUGUGAAAGCCCACGGCUCAACCGUGGAGGGUCAUUGGAAACUGGAAAACUUGAGUGCAGAAGAGGAAAGUGGAAUUCCAUGUGUAGCGGUGAAAUGCGCAGAGAUAUGGAGGAACACCAGUGGCGAAGGCGACUUUCUGGUCUGUAACUGACGCUGAUGUGCGAAAGCGUGGGGAUCAAACAGGAUUAGAUACCCUGGUAGUCCACGCCGUAAACGAUGAGUGCUAAGUGUUAGGGGGUUUCCGCCCCUUAGUGCUGCAGCUAACGCAUUAAGCACUCCGCCUGGGGAGUACGACCGCAAGGUUGAAACUCAAAGGAAUUGACGGGGACCCGCACAAGCGGUGGAGCAUGUGGUUUAAUUCGAAGCAACGCGAAGAACCUUACCAAAUCUUGACAUCCUUUGACAACUCUAGAGAUAGAGCCUUCCCCUUCGGGGGACAAAGUGACAGGUGGUGCAUGGUUGUCGUCAGCUGGUGUCGUGAGAUGUUGGGUUAAGUCCCGCAACGAGCGCAACCCUUAAGCUUAGUUGCCAUCAUUAAGUUGGGCACUCUAAGUUGACUGCCGGUGACAAACCGGAGGAAGGUGGGGAUGACGUCAAAUCAUCAUGCCCCUUAUGAUUUGGGCUACACACGUGCUACAAUGGACAAUACAAAGGGCAGCGAAACCGCGAGGUCAAGCAAAUCCCAUAAAGUUGUUCUCAGUUCGGAUUGUAGUCUGCAACUCGACUACAUGAAGCUGGAAUCGCUAGUAAUCGUAGAUCAGCAUGCUACGGUGAAUACGUUCCCGGGUCU
Molecule: ribosomal RNA, 1372 nt
Filed under: uncultured bacterium
Lineage: Bacteria
Description: bacterial SSU rRNA
Rfam family: Bacterial small subunit ribosomal RNA
Source: RNAcentral